AUAGGAUUCAAAUGCUACAGAGGCCCAGUUUAAGAAAGCUUGGUAGACAUAAUUAGCAGAGCAUUACUUGGACUUCCUAUACAAGAUGCAGAGUACAAGAAAGAAGCAAAGGUGUGUUUCCUACAAGGUAUGGACUAGCUUGCAACAGGCUUGGUCCGAUCCUCAAUAUGUGAGUAAAUGAGAGAUUAUGUCCCGUAAUAGGCUCAGCGAGAUGGAAGGUGAGGGAGAUGGUCUGUCUCAACACACUGUUUCAUUCCAAUAAUUGAGAUUGUUAAGAAAUUGGCAGAGAAGUAUAGAUGUCAGCCUACCCCCAUGGAGGUCUUCACAUAUACACAUGCGAAGGACUAUAAAGGGGUCACAUUCAUUGAUUGGCGUGCAGAGCUUGUUAGAAUAAUUAUACUACUGGGAAAGUGCAAGCGACUGCAUCUCAAGCUCAAACUGGUGAGUAACCUACGAUCGAUGAGUUCCUACUUUAUCUCGAGACUGCAGGAGGAGAGAAGAAACGAAAAGUGUACAACAUUGGUUCGCAGCCCUUAGUUUUCUAUAGUCACACCCAUGGGAAUUCUGCAAGUAGAGCCAUGCCAGCUGAGCCGGAGGCACAUAUUGAGGAGAUCUAGGAUUUACAAGCUCAGCUUCAAGCGCAGCAGCAGCAAAUAUCGUAGCUUAUACCAACAGUAGCUGAUGGAUAUGUAUGCUCGAGACCGACCUAGUGCACCGCUAGCUCCUUUUGUACUGAUAGAUCACUUUGAUCCGCCAGCUUCUUCCACCCUACCUGACUUUUCUGCUUUUCAAACUCCUAUAGAUCUUCAUGAUACGCCACAUUAGCCUUCUUUUUUAUGAUUAUGUUUAUUUUUUGCACAAAUUACU
This is a long non-coding RNA of Jatropha curcas, 867 nucleotides long. RefSeq lists it as uncharacterized. NCBI's taxonomy places the organism in Eukaryota, Viridiplantae, Streptophyta, Magnoliopsida, Malpighiales, Euphorbiaceae. The record is from RefSeq and is a predicted model, not a curated record.